This 72-nucleotide transfer RNA is filed under the name Streptosporangium lutulentum. Its description in RNAcentral is "tRNA-Pro". It matches the Rfam family "tRNA". From Rfam's summary of the family: Transfer RNA (tRNA) molecules are approximately 80 nucleotides in length. Their secondary structure includes four short double-helical elements and three loops (D, anti-codon, and T loops). Lineage: Bacteria; Bacillati; Actinomycetota; Actinomycetes; Streptosporangiales; Streptosporangiaceae. The record is from RNAcentral.
CUCGUUGUAGCUCAGUGGUAGAGCUCCCGGCUCGGGACCGGGUGGACGCCGGUUCGAGCCCGGUCGACGAGG